RNAcentral lists this ribosomal RNA (396 nucleotides) under uncultured Glomus. RNAcentral describes it as "SSU rRNA". It matches the Rfam family "Eukaryotic small subunit ribosomal RNA", at positions 536 to 940 of the family's 1831-position model. Lineage: Eukaryota; Fungi; Glomeromycota; Glomeromycetes; Glomerales; Glomeraceae. The record is from RNAcentral.
CACGGGGGUUGGAGGGCAAGUCUGGUGCCAGCAGCCGCGGUAAUUCCAGCUCCAAUAGCGUAUAUUAAAGUUGUUGCAGUUAAAAAGCUCGUAGUUGAAUUUCGGGAUCAGUAGGUUGGUCAUGCCUAUGGUAUGUACUGGCUUUACUGGUUCCUCCUUCUUGAUGAUCUGUAAUGUCAUUAAUUUGGUGUUGCAGGGAGUCAGGACUGUUACUUUGAAAAAAUUAGAGUGUUUAAAGCAGGCAUACGCUUGAAUACAUUAGCAUGGAAUAAUGAAAUAGGACGUUCGAUCCUAUUUUGUUGGUUUCUAGGAUUGACGUAAUGAUUAAUAGGGAUAGUUGGGGGCAUUAGUAUUCAAUUGUCAGAGGUGAAAUUCUUGGAUUUAUUGAAGACUAAC